This 971-nucleotide ribosomal RNA is filed under the name uncultured bacterium. RNAcentral describes it as "bacterial SSU rRNA". It matches the Rfam family "Bacterial small subunit ribosomal RNA", at positions 8 to 986 of the family's 1533-position model. The record is from RNAcentral.
AGAGUUUGAUCCUGGCUCAGGAUGAACCUUUGCGGCGUGCCUAAUACAUGCAAGUCGAGCGAGAAUUUUUCAAAUGACACUUCGGUUGAUUUUGGAAAAGGACAGCGGCGGACGGGUGAGUAACGCGUAGGCAACCUGCCCCUGACAGGGGGAUAGCCAUUGGAAACGAUGAUUAAAACCUCAUAACGCCGAAGGAACACAUGUUUCAUCGGCCAAAGAUUUAUCGGUCAGGGAUGGGCCUGCGUCUGAUUAACUAGUUGGUGAGGUAACGGCCCACCAAGGUGACGAUCAGUAGCCGACCUGAGAGGGUGAUCGGCCACAUUGGAACUGAGACACGGUCCAAACUUCUACGGAAGGCAGCAGUAGGGAAUCUUGCACAAUGGGCGAAAGCCUGAUGCAGCAACGCCGCGUGAAGGAUGAAGGCCUUCGGGUUGUAAACUUCUGUUCUUAGGGAAGAAGAAAGUGACGGUACCUAAGGAGAAAGCCCCGGCUAACUACGUGCCAGCAGCCGCGGUAAUACGUAGGGGGCAAGCGUUAUCCGGAAUUAUUGGGCGUAAAGAGUGCGUAGGUGGUUAUCUAAGCGUAAGGUUUAAGCGUGCAGCUCAACUGCAUCUCGCCUUGCGAACUGGACUACUUGAGUGCAGGAGGGGAAAGCGGAAUUCCUAGUGUAGCGGUGAAAUGCGUAGAUAUUAGGAGGAACACCAGUGGCGAAGGCGGCUUUCUGGACUGUAACUGACACUGAGGCACGAAAGCGUGGGGAGCAAACAGGAUUAGGUACCCUGGUAGUCCACGCCGUAAACGAUGAGUGUUAAGUAUCGGUAGAUUCGGUGCUUAAGCUAACGCAGUAAGCACUCCGCCUGGGGAGUACGGUCGCAAGACUGAAACUCAAAGGAAUUGACGGGGACUCGCACAAGCGGUGGAGCAUGCGGUUUAAUUCGAUGCAACGCGAAGAACCUUACCAGGUCUUGACA